CAGCAGCCGCGGGAAUACAGAGGGUGCGAGCGUUAAUCGGAUUUACUGGGCGUAAAGCGUGCGUAGGCGGCUUUUUAAGUCGGAUGUGAAAUCCCUGAGCUUAACUUAGGAAUUGCAUUCGAUACUGGGAAGCUAGAGUAUGGGAGAGGAUGGUAGAAUUCCAGGUGUAGCGGUGAAAUGCGUAGAGAUCUGGAGGAAUACCGAUGGCGAAGGCAGCCAUCUGGCCUAAUACUGACGCUGAGGUACGAAAGCAUGGGGAGCAAACAGGAUUAGAUACCCCGGUAGUCCCUGUCUCUUAUAU
This 301-nucleotide ribosomal RNA is filed under the name uncultured bacterium. RNAcentral describes it as "partial 16S ribosomal RNA". It matches the Rfam family "Bacterial small subunit ribosomal RNA", at positions 509 to 809 of the family's 1533-position model. The record is from RNAcentral.